GACAGAGGCCUCGAGCGUUAGGCGGAAUCACUGGGCUUAAAGCGUGUGUAGGCGGAUCGUUAAGUACCUUGUGAAAUCCCACGGCUCAACCGUGGAACGGCUGGGUAUACUGGCGGUCUUGGGCCCUUCAGGGGCGACUGGAACAAGCGGUGGAGCGGUGAAAUGCGUAGAUAUCGCUUGGAACGCCGAAGGUGAAAACAGGUCGCUGGGGAUGUGCCGACGCUGAGACACGAAAGCCAGGGGAGCAAACGGG
This 253-nucleotide ribosomal RNA is filed under the name uncultured bacterium. RNAcentral describes it as "partial 16S ribosomal RNA". It matches the Rfam family "Bacterial small subunit ribosomal RNA", at positions 524 to 776 of the family's 1533-position model. The record is from RNAcentral.